Molecule: ribosomal RNA, 458 nt
Filed under: uncultured bacterium
Lineage: Bacteria
Description: bacterial SSU rRNA
Rfam family: Bacterial small subunit ribosomal RNA
Source: RNAcentral
UACGGAAGGCAGCAGUGGGGAAUAUUGCACAAUGGGCGCAAGCCUGAUGCAGCCAUGCCGCGUGUAUGAAGAAGGCCUUCGGGUUGUAAAGUACUUUCAGUCGUGAGGAAGGUGUUAAGGUUAAUAACCUUAGCAAUUGACGUUAGCGACAGAAGAAGCACCGGCUAACUCCGUGCCAGCAGCCGCGGUAAUACGGAGGGUGCGAGCGUUAAUCGGAAUUACUGGGCGUAAAGGGCACGCAGGCGGUUAAUUAAGUUGGAUGUGAAAUCCCCGGGCUUAACCUGGGAAUGGCAUUCAAGACUGGUUAGCUAGAGUCUUGUAGAGGGGGUAGAAUUCCAUGUGUAGCGGUGAAAUGCGUAGAGAUGUGGAGGAAUACCGGUGGGCGAAGGCGGGCCCCCUGGGACAAAGGACUGACGCUCAUGUGCGAAAGCGUGGGGAGCAAACAGGGAUUAGAUACC